GACGAACGCUGGCGGUGUGCUUAACACAUGCAAGUCGAACGGUAAGGCCCUUUCGGGGGUACACGAGUGGCGAACGGGUGAGUAACACGUGAGUAACCUGCCCUCAUCUCUGGGAUAACAGUCGGAAACGGUUGCUAAUACUGGAUAUGAGCUUGCAAGGCAUCUUGUGGGUUGGAAAGAUUUUUUUUGGUUGGGGAUGGACUCGCGGCCUAUCAGCUUGUUGGUGAGGUAGUGGCUCACCAAGGCUUCGACGGGUAGCCGGCCUGAGAGGGCGACCGGCCACAUUGGGACUGAGAUACGGCCCAAACUCCUACGGGAGGCAGCAGUGGGGAAUAUUGCACAAUGGACGGAAGUCUGAUGCAGCAACGCCGCGUGCGGGAUGACGGCCUUCGGGUUGUAAACCGCUUUCAAUUGUGACGAAGCUUUUUUGUGACGGGAGCAGGAGAAGAAGCACCGGCUAACUACG
This 466-nucleotide ribosomal RNA is filed under the name uncultured bacterium. RNAcentral describes it as "partial 16S ribosomal RNA". It matches the Rfam family "Bacterial small subunit ribosomal RNA", at positions 28 to 505 of the family's 1533-position model. The record is from RNAcentral.